UGUGUGUUUAGUAGAAAGACAAUCCUUUUUUUUCCAGUCAAUUUUUUCUUUGAUCUAUAGAACUUGCUUCUUUUCUCUGAAGUUUUCACAAUACAGCAUGAAGGAGCACAGAGUGCCAGAGGCAGGGAAUUCCUAUGCUUCACUAGUGACUCAUAAGAAAACUUAAUAGAAGGUCUCUACUGCCUGCUGGCCCUGCAGUACCUGAUUGAUGUGGUCCCAAACUAAAGUAGGCUAACCUUCAUUGAACCAAGCACUUCAGAGCCAUGGGAAGAAGUAUGGGGGAAGGAGUCCUUGUACUCUGGCAAUGAGGAAAACAAACAUUAACAGUGCAAGACACAGUGAGAGUCACAGAUCCAUGGAUGGACGAUCCUUUUGAGGACAAUAGAGGGGGAAUUUGGAUAAGUUUCCUGAGUGAGAAACCUUCCAGAUGGCAAUCUGCAAGUUAGUUGUUCCUUCUCAAAACACAGAGCUUUCUCAAGAGAAAGAUAACACCCUCUUUCAUCAGAGCGAGUGAGAGCUCCACCUUGAUGACUGGUUUUGACAAAAUGCUUU
RNAcentral lists this long non-coding RNA (552 nucleotides) under Pan troglodytes (chimpanzee). RNAcentral's name for it is "long non-coding RNA NONPTRT017431". The record is from RNAcentral. Lineage: Eukaryota; Metazoa; Chordata; Mammalia; Primates; Hominidae.